This 253-nucleotide ribosomal RNA is filed under the name uncultured bacterium. Its description in RNAcentral is "partial 16S ribosomal RNA". It matches the Rfam family "Bacterial small subunit ribosomal RNA", at positions 524 to 776 of the family's 1533-position model. The record is from RNAcentral.
UACGUAGGGGGCUAGCGUUGUCCGGAAUCAUUGGGCGUAAAGCGCGCGUAGGCGGCCGCUUAAGUCGGAUGUGAAAGCCCCUGGCUCAACUGGGGAAGUGCACCCGAAACUGAGUGGCUUGAGUACUAAAGAGGGUCGCGGAAUUCCCGGUGUAGAGGUGAAAUUCGUAGAUAUCGGGAGGAACACCGGUGGCGAAGGCGGCGACCUGGGUAGAUACUGACGCUGAGGCGCGAAAGCGUGGGGAGCAAACAGG